UUAAUCCAUUAAUUUUGCGUUUGAGCAUAUUUUGUAUUUAACUUGUUCCUCAGCCUACUUCCCGUGUGAUAGCACGAAUGCUUGCAAGCACACUCGCAAUAUUUUUUUCAUCACGAUCAGGCUCCAAGCCAGAACUGAUGUCAAGGAUCAGUGUAACGAGAACAGCAGGUUUCUGGAAAAGGAAUGAUGGCAUGCACACGGCAUCAGCAGGGACAUCACAAGUAUUGAGACACUGGUUUGUUUUUGAAAGUCUGAACUCAAAAAUCAGCUGGGAAAGCAAUGCGAUUCCAAGUGACUGCAUGCAAUGUAGGUCAGUUGAAUGCAAAAGUGAAAGCACAUGUACCAUCAGAUUCCCACGUCUGGAGGGGGAGGGAUGUCAGCCUGCAAGGGCAAAAAGCCCCAGAAGUCAUGUGUGACUCGUGUUUUCCGAAACAAAUCUGAUCUUUAGAUGGAAAUUCAUUCUCUUAGCUGUGUCAGAGAAACAGAGACCAAGAAUGAGCCUGAGUGGGGAGAGGACCAGUCAAGCCUCACAGCGUGGAAAGACUGAAAAAGACCCAACAGCAAAGAAUAAGAGGAUAUGAGCUGUGCUGUGCUCACAAUGAAAUCAUUGGGAAUUUUGCCAUGAAAGCAGAACUGAGUUGUUCUUUCAGCAUUUCAGUACCCAUCACCAUAUUAUCUAGGCGCCACCAUGAGAUUAAGAAGCUCUGCCGUGACAUUCUCAGCAUGAUCUGUUCAAAGGUCAUUAGCAGAGCCUUUCGUACUGGAAAAGAUUGCAGGACAGUACUGAAGUGAGCCGCAGAAGGAGAGAAAAAGGAAAAGGAGGCGGAUCCAUGGAAUCAGGAAAGAUGGUUUUAUCUCACAAGGCCUGAUCCGACUUCCACCAAAGUCAGUUGCUGGAGCAUCUCUGAUUGCCAUGAGUGUCUGCUGAAGACAACCUGGGGAACUUGCAUUCUGGAAAGGUGGCACUGGCUGUAUUGUGUUCACUGAUGCAGUCUGUUGUGACUUUCCCAAGAAGUGUAUUGGUAAGCGAAAAAUUUGCCCAAGCUCUUUUUUUCACGGCUGCAGUUAGGACUCCUGGUUCAGGCCUGAGGAGGCCAAUGACAGUAUGCUGACGCACUGCUCAAACAAACCCCCAGAGGUCUUUUGUGCCCCUUCUGGUACAAAAACAGUAGGGGAUUUACACUAGGGGAUAAAUAGGUGGUUCCAAAGUGAGAAGGAAAGAGCCAAAGUUGGAAGCUAACCACAAUACGUGGGUGUAAACGAUUACCAAAGGCUUCCAGUAACUCUGCUAUCAUCAGAGACUGGCUUUAUGGGUAUGGCCUCAAGAAGUUUCCCUCCACUUAAUUAAAGAGGCAGAUAAGUAUCUAGGUGGAGUGUGCAGAUAGGUUCUGAAUGAGUUAUCCACUAAGGCUGGUUUGCUGCACCUAUUGUUAAAGCCAAAAUAUAAUAUCAGAUUAAUGCAUUAUAUUUGCCUAUUAUAGCACUAUGUCAUCAUUAUAUGACAUGUUAUAAUUAAAGCCCUGCGUUAGAAACAAAACUAUUUGGCUUGGGAUAAGUUGCCUUUAUGACUUCUGUGGUUAUGAUUUCCUCCUUUUCUUAACCCCUUAAAACUGCAUAAUAUAGCUAUUUGUAACUGUAUAAAGAAAGUUUCUAGUUUCAGAUUCUAAUCUCAGGUAAU
Athene cunicularia (burrowing owl) is the source of this 1678-nucleotide long non-coding RNA. RefSeq lists it as uncharacterized. The record is from RefSeq and is a predicted model, not a curated record. Lineage: Eukaryota; Metazoa; Chordata; Aves; Strigiformes; Strigidae. The transcript has 4 exons.